Molecule: ribosomal RNA, 253 nt
Filed under: uncultured bacterium
Lineage: Bacteria
Description: partial 16S ribosomal RNA
Rfam family: Bacterial small subunit ribosomal RNA
Source: RNAcentral
UACGUAGGGUGCAAGCGUUGUCCGGAAUUAUUGGGCGUAAAGGGCUCGUAGGCGGUCCAUCGCGUCGGGAGUGAAAAGCUGGGGCUUAACCCCAGUCCUGCUUCCGAUACGGGUCGACUAGAGGUAGGUAGGGGAGAACGGAAUUCCUGGUGUAGCGGUGAAAUGCGUAGAUAUCAGGAGGAACACCUGCGGUGUAGACAGCUUACUGGACCACUUCUGACGCUGAGACACGAAAGCGUGGGUAGCAAACAGG